This 465-nucleotide ribosomal RNA is filed under the name uncultured bacterium. RNAcentral describes it as "partial 16S ribosomal RNA". It matches the Rfam family "Bacterial small subunit ribosomal RNA", at positions 338 to 795 of the family's 1533-position model. The record is from RNAcentral.
CCUACGGGGGGCUGCAGUGGGGAAUAUUGCGCAAUGGGCGAAAGCCUGACGCAGCGACGCCGCGUGAGGGAUGAAGGUCUUCGGAUCGUAAACCUCUGUCAGCAGGGAAGAACGGUCACUGUGCUAAUCAGCAGUGAAUUGACGGUACCUGCAAAGGAAGCACCGGCUAACUCCGUGCCAGCAGCCGCGGUAAUCCGGAGGGGGCGAGCGUUAAUCGGAAUUACUGGGCGUAAAGCGCUCGUAGGCGGUAUUUCAAGUCAAGGGUGAAAUCCCCGCGCUCAACGUGGGCACUGCCUUUGAAACUGGCAGACUGGAGUGUAGGAGAGGAUAGUGGAAUUCCAGGUGUAGGAGUGAAAUGCGUAGAUAUCUGGAGGAACAUCAGUGGCGAAGGCGACUAUCUGGCCCGUAACUGACGCUGAGGAGCGAAAGCGUGGGUAGCAAACAGGAUUAGAUACCCUUGUAGUC